Microcebus murinus (gray mouse lemur) is the source of this 2962-nucleotide non-coding RNA. The record is from RefSeq and is a predicted model, not a curated record. NCBI's taxonomy places the organism in Eukaryota, Metazoa, Chordata, Mammalia, Primates, Cheirogaleidae.
AAUAGGUACUGUUAAAAUUCUUUGGGGAACAGAGCUGAGCCAGAUGAGGUAACCCAGCAGGGGCUAAGGACAACAUGAUAGUGCCUGACAUUUAUAAGAGAGAUCUGGUACAGAGGGGAGGCAGAACAAGUUUAAAUUUUCUUUUAAAAUUUUGUCUAUGUCUAGUCCCUUAGUGAGGAAGGAAAGUAAAACCUCUUUUCCCUCCAACACCUCCUGCCUGACCUACUACCUAGAACAUCACAAAUUGCAUGGCUUUGGUAAAUGUUGAAAAUUAAGAGUCACAUAUAUAAUUGCUUCUAGAAAAACAAGAAUCAAAAAGUCAGCAAUAUAUAAACAUACUUGUGGAAAACAAAGUAUUUGUAAACGUAUUUACCUGUGAUUAUGACCAUAAUUAAAAGUCACCGAACACUUUUUGUGUGCCGGCACUAUCCCAUUUGCUUUACCAUUAGCUGGGUUUAUUUACAACACACCCAUUAUUGCAGAAAGGGAAGCAAGCUUACAUUACACAGUGAUACCACCCAACGUCAGAGCUAGUUAAUGAGCUGAGUUCCGGUCUGUGUGGGUUCUCAAAUACGCAGAGAGCCUUUAAUUUGGCAAGGCUCCUUCAAUAUCUGCCACACGAAUGAAAUAAUUCUUAAACGUCUCCCUCACCUCCAAAACCUCAAUGUCAUUUAGGUUAACGGAUUUUUCUGGAAACCUGAUGUAUCCUAACAGCUUCACAAUUGCUGGGGUGGGGAGAAGGGGACCAAGUUUUCUUCCCUCGCUGUGUUGCCCAGGCUGGAGUGCAGUGACUAUUCUAGAGCACUACAGCCUGGAAUUCCUAGUCAAGCGAUCUUCCCGCCUCAGCCUACCGCGCAGCUGGGACAGCAGGAGCUCGCCACAGCGCCAGGUUGGACCAGUAUUUCUUAAAGGCUACUUCAAUUUAUACCGCCAGAGGGCAGAGAUUAGCAAAAAAGAAAAAAAGAAAAGGGCGAACAAACCCGACCUGAUGUUCACGUUGUUUUAAUAUUCCAGUACCUUCUGCAUUCUAUUCCAUAAUAAAUGCAUUCGUUCUAGUGUCCACACUAAUAGAAAUUUGUCCAAGCCCACAGAUCAAACUGACGUUCCAGAUAAGGCAGGAUUAACCUGAAGCUUCGCUCUAACCCUCAAUUCCCAGUGUGAAAAGCAGGAAGGGUGGAAUGACAAUUCCAAUUCUAUUUCCUCAGGUCACUUUGCCUCAGUUAUCGGCGUAAAAGGGAAAUUAUUACCUCCCUCUUUGCACUGGUAGAAUUUAUCAAGCCAAUGCACAAGACAGCGCAUGAGUCAUAGCAAGUACUGAGCUCAUUUUGGUUGUAAGUCAUCCACUAAUUAUCUCCUUGUGCCCUUGAACUUUUCUAAGGCAGAGGUGAAGGACUGCAAAGCAGUAACAGCGGAACGCUAGGGCUGUCAGAGCCGCCGCGGGCACCUUCACAGACAGCUUCCCAACCCUCUUGGCAAGCCGGGCCCGGCAAAGGGGCGGGGGAAACACGUCCUUUUGGCUGGACUGGAGCCGCAACCUUCCCUUACGCGGCAAACCUGGCCACUUAGAGAAAAGACAGAAAAAGGAGCAAGUUGCUGUGAGAAUAAAACGUUGGGCGCUGCGAUUCCCGCCAGUUUCAGCUUGCUGGUUACAAGGUGAAGAAGGUGGCAAGAAAAGGAAAACCUUAUGCCAAGGAACCAGAAACCCAGGAUUUUCACGAAAUCUAGCUCAUACAGGAAUUAAGCUCAAGAGCUUGGAUGUUUGCUGACUGGCAACAAUUCAGAAAUGGUGGAGAUAGCAUACAUCAAUCUGUGUUGGCAAAGAUGAUGUGAAGCAGAGCCUUUGUGGUCCUAACAUGUUUGAGAUAAAAACUUUUUUGGUUUUAGGACUGUUUAUUACAGCAGCACAAUUUGCCUAUUCUGACUCGUAUGAGCAGGUUCAUAACAGCAAAAUGAGGGUCUGAGCUUUAGAAAGACCAGGCAGAUGGUUCCAUGCUUUGUCUCCCAGCUGUACAUUCUUUCUUGUUUCCUGUUUAUUGAUCUCAUCCAUUGGAGAACUCCCUGAAAGCACAUAUUUGUGCCACACUUAGCAUUGUAUUCUAGGAUCUCAAAUGUGUGUUGAGUGCAUGAGUCAAAUAUUUGACAAGAAGACCCGGACUAUAACUAGCCCUGACAAGUUACAAAUUUAGUUUCUUGUGAGGUUUCUUUAUAGGCAUCCAACGUACCACAAAACCCUGGUGUACAAUAAAAUAUGCCCAAAGUAAAUGGCUUAAAACACUUUUCACCCAAUUCUGAAUUCAGCUGGGUAGUCUUGCUCAGUGUAGUAUCUGCUGUGGCUAGAAUAUCCAAGAUAGUUCCUCACUCACACCUUUGGUAAUUAUCUGGCAUGGCUGAUCAGCUGGGGUUUAACCAGGCAUCUUUGUCUCAAACCUGGUUUUCUCCUGCAGUAACCAGACCUCUUUAUGUAGCGGCUCAGGGUUCCAAGAGGACAGGCCCUUAUGUGCAAGCACUUAUCAAGCCUCUGAUAAUGUCCCAUGGGGCCAAAUAACACUUGCCAAGAAUCAGUAUAUAAAGGGGCUACACAAGAGUGCAAAUACCAAGUGUGGUUCAUAGGGGGGCACCAGUGUUAACAGUCUACCCAAUUUGGUCAUCCUAAAGCAGUUUACUGAAGUCAUGAUGCCUCAUUUUACAAAUAAAAAAGCAAAGUAUCAGAGAUUAAAUCAUUUGACCAGAAUGUGGGUAAAUGGAAACAUGUGAGGUAAAUGGAAAAGAAAGAGACCAUUUUAAAAGGUCUGUGACUAUAAGAACAGGAGAAUCCUUGCUCUCUUCUUCACUAGAAUGAUAAGUGCCAACUUAAAGCAAACCAACUCUCUCUCUUCCUCUAUGCUUGCCAUAUUUUUAGUUCUCGUCUUCCUGAGAAGGAAGGAAAUGGUUAAGUUAAACAAGAAUGAAGUCACCAGGAACU